RNAcentral lists this long non-coding RNA (2659 nucleotides) under Musa acuminata (dwarf banana). RNAcentral describes it as "long non-coding RNA (MACU_LNC009780)". Lineage: Eukaryota; Viridiplantae; Streptophyta; Magnoliopsida; Zingiberales; Musaceae. The record is from RNAcentral.
GCGGCUACGACUGUAGUAGUGCCAGCGGCGAUAGCUGCAACAGCUGCGUUUGAAAAAGAAAAUGAAGGAAUGAGAGUAAGAGAGAGCAGGUGACUAUGCCUCUAUAUUCUGCAUGAGCUACAAUUGUGGAGGAAAAAGAGAAGACACAUGUAGAACACGAAACAGGGAGAGGACACGGAGGAAAAGUAGAAGGAUUUGGGCUGACACCUUCUUUGGAUCUUCGGAUCAAAAUAUUUGAAAGGCAAGUUUCCUGAUCGUUUCUCCUAUAAUUGCUCUAAAUUUUCUUAUUGCAAAUGUUCUGAUCCUUCCUAUUGCAAGUGUUUCGAUCAUUUCUAUUGCAAAUAUUUUGAUCCUUUCUAUUGCAAGUGUCCCGAUCUUUUCUCCUGCAAGUGUUCUGAUACUUCCUAUUGCAAGUUUUUCGAUCCUUUCUAUUGUAAGUGUUCCGAUCCUUCCUAUUGCAAGCUUUCUAAUCUUUCCUAAUGGAAGUGUCCUGAUCUUUCCUUACUACAAUUUAUUCUCUACAUUUUCUUUGAAUAUGAGGAACUUUGAAUUGUUCUAGCCUUGCAUUUGAUAUAUCUCCUGUUUAGACGUAACGAUUCGAAUCUGUGCAACUUCGGAGAUUCUGACCUUUCUAUCUUGUUAUGGUUAUAACUUCAUGUUUUGACCUCUGAUUUGGACAAAACUUAUUUGAUCAGAAUAUAGACUCAUAAACAUUUCUCUUGAUAACUUAUUUUAAGAAUUCAGAGUAAGUUUGCCUUCCCAAACUUCUGUUUCAAAUGAGCCUAUAGAUUCUGCAAAACAGGGAUCGUAAUUUCUGACCUUUUGAUACUGAACUGCCUAUAAGUCCCCGUUGAAAAUGUUGAUUUAUUCAAAGCUCCUUUCAUUAGAAACUAAACUCGUAGAUCUUUCUUUGAUACCUGGAUUGAAAGAUUUAGAGUCCAAAUGCCUACCCAGUUUUCUGUUGAAAUCGACCCUGUGAAUUAUGUAAAAUUGAGAUUUGUUCUUUAAUCUUGGGUUACCAAAUCUAUUGUAACUCUUUGUGGGAAUCUUCGAUUCAUACGAGACUUAUUUUAUCUGAAAAUAGAUUGAAAUAUCUUUCCAAUGAUAUAUUUCUAAGUAUAUUGGAGCACGAUUGAUAGUUUGAAUCAUUUAUUCAAUGUGCCUCUUGAAUUCUACCAGAAAUCGAGCUUUGGUCGAUUUCGCAUAUUCUGGUUUCAUUCCUUUGGAAAUUGAUAUCCUUUAGCUUUCUUAUUCAAUUGAGCUUUAUAUUACUGCUUUGAAUUCUUAUAUGCUCUUGUCCUUAAAAUUAUUUGCAUUCUUGAAAACUUUUGUGUAACGUUUAUGCUAUAUCGUAUUGACUCAUAUAGGCACAUGUAUAUCCCAUUGUUCUGCAUUUGCUUUUGAUAUGUGCCUAUUCCAGUUUCAUUCCUUUGGACAUUGAAUUUAUCUAACCUUCUUAUUUGAAUUGAGUUAUAUGUGAUUGCUUGGAAUCCUUGAAUGCUUUUGCUUUCAUUUCCUUUCAAAUCUGAAAACAAUUGUGAAAGAUUAUCGCUUACUUCGUAUUGACUCAUAAAGGCACAUGUACGUUUUGUUAUUCCGCGUGUGCUUCUGAUAUGUGUUAUUCAUUGUUCAUACUAUCCUUUUCUACUCUGGUGUUUGUGGGAUAUUGUGAACCUUUGUCAGAAAUGGUGAAGGGAGUUAUGCAUAGAGCCAGUGAUGCUCUGUCGGCCCUUAUGACUUCACUCAGACGUGGGUGGAUGGAGCUCCCAAACGUGGGAGACCUCCCAGACGUGGGAGACUUAUGUUUGGUGGUCAUUCAGAAAUGGAUGUACCAUAUUAUUUUAUGGUCCCACUUCACCUUCUGUAUGCUUGAUAUGGUAUCCAGAGCUUUGGUUAUGUGUUUCUAUACAUGCUUUGGAUAUAAAUGAUAUGAAUGCAAUGUCAAAUUCGACAUUUGAGCUUCUGUUUCGUAUUCAUCUUUGAAAUGCUCCGAAAUGGUCCAUACGCCAUUGAUCUGUUCCGAAAUGUUUCAUUUAUCAUUGAUAUGCUUCGAAACAUUACGUACGCCUUUGAUAUGCUACAAAAUGUUUCAUUUGUUAUUUAUAUGUUUCGAAAUGUUCCAUAGGUUGUUGAUAUGCUCCGGAACAUUUCGUAUGCUAUUGAUAUGCUCCAAUUACUCUAUGCUACAUCUGUUAUGAACCAAAUAUGUUUGAUUGAGUUGACAUUUGUGAUUCUGCCCUAAUGAGAUUACGUCUAUGAAUUAUGAUAUUCUGCCUUGCAUUUUGAAACCUUAUUUGUUUAGAAAUUGCCCUCUUUUACCAUGGAUAUGUUAGUAACUUGCUGAGCUUUAUAUGCUCACCCCAUUGUUGUAUAAAUUUUUCAGGAUAGCUUGUCGCUCGCUUAAAUGUUAAGGUUGGGCUGAGGCAGUGGAAAGCUAAAAGAUUUUGGGCAGAUCUUUAUUAGUAUAUAUGUUUUUGUUGUAUAAGCACACUUUGCAUCUAAUGAAAUGUUGACGAUGAAUCUAAACUUGUUGAUUUUGUAUAAGUUUAAAGGACCUCUCGUGUCUAGGAUUCUAGAAUGUUAAGUUUAAUUCGUGUAAUGAUAUGAACUUAUGGUAAAUGUUGGUUUUGUGACUGUAUAGACUCCCAUACUUGUGAAU